AUCCAGCUGAAGGGUCCCAAAUAGGUCGAAAUGCACGUUCUGGAU
Schistosoma mattheei is the source of this 45-nucleotide non-coding RNA. The record is from Rfam. Lineage: Eukaryota; Metazoa; Platyhelminthes; Trematoda; Strigeidida; Schistosomatidae.